UAGUGAUCACUUAAUAAUCAACUGCCACACAGAAAAAGCACAAGAAGUUUUGAGACGCAAUAUACAUAGUUCUUGACGGUGAAUACCACCAAGAAAACAAAAACAUAAAACAAAGCAUAGUUCGUCAAUCUUCUGGCGCGACAUCGAUGACAGACAACAUAACAAACCGCGGUAACUUAAAACAGUCUUAUUCCUGACAAUCUCAUAAUUAGACCUCGUUGAAGACAACCAUCGUCCAUCGUAUUCAGUUCGUCCAGUGCACUGUUCCUGAUGGUGAUUAGCACCGCUCUCUCAAUGCUUGGUAGUUCUCCUCCGGGAAUUCCUCUCAACCAUCCUUGUUGAAAAGCGAUAUGACCAUCUGUUACUGACUUGUAUGCGGCAGUAUCACUUUUGAAACUAACCAAAAAGCAUGAUGAAAUAAAAAUGAGCAAGUUGUGUAGAUAGAAUGAUGAAGAUAACAAAACUGAGGUCAUAGACAAAAAAUGAUGCCAAAUCAAAUGUUUAACAAAAACAAAAGUUACAAUGAAGAUGAUUGAGGACAAACUAAGUUCGUAGACAAAUCUGAUCAUGCCAUGUUUUACUUCACCAAGACAAACAGUGACUAAAAAGGGACUGAAGGGGUUGCACUAAAGAUUAGUUAUCUAACAGCGAAAGAAUGAUCAAUAUCAAGAUAAUGAACAUGGAUGGAACUGAAAUAUAAUUAAAUAUACAUCGAGAAUGAUAACUAAAGACUAAGGGAUGAAAGACAAAGUUAACUAAAAGGAAUGAGUAAGAGUGGAAAACAAAAAAUUAAGGACUAAUUCUAUCAUUACAAUGUCUCUAGACUGACGACAACUAGCACACAAAGAAAAUUUGAAUCACAAGUGAAAUGAGACACUGAUAACUGAAACACAAGACUGAGAAGUGACUGGAAAAUAAUAAUUUGAAUAAAAAGAAGAAUCAUGACGAAAAACACAAAACAAGGAAGUGACUGGAUAUGAAUGAACGAAGAGGUAAAAUGAAAACUCAGGACGAAAGAAGAUAAUGAAAUUACAAACAAAAGAAAAUGAGUGAAUCAACUACAUGACUGAAAACUCGGACAAAACUGAAUACUGACAAAUGAAACACUGAAAACUGAAAAACUGAAGAAAAUGACACCUAACAAUGAAAACGACACCUAACUACCCACAAAACUGAAAAAAAAAUACACCUAACACUGAAAAUACUGACGAAACUGAAUAAAAUGUCACUUAACAAUGAAACUACUGAAACCGAAGAAUGAAAUCCUCAUGUGAAGAAAACCGAGACUUUGAGUUUUGAGACUAAGAAUAAGACUGAGAGGAACAAUGAAUUAUAUUGAAAUAAAGAUGACAUAUACUGAAACGCAAACACUAUACGAUGGACUGAAAUAAUAAAUAGCUGAAUACUGAAGCGCUAAAAGCCGAUCCAAAGAAAAACUGAGGACUGAUGAAAUAAGCACUGACGAAAGGGUACUGAUAAGAACACGGAACAACACUGAAGAAUGAACAAUGACUUAAACUGAAAAGUACACUGAUGACUGAAAAACAAAACUGUCUGAAGACUGAUAUAUAACUAAAAUCUCAAGACUGAAUGACUAAAGAAUGAUGUACGCUUGAGAAUGAGAAACAUAAGAGUUGACAGCACUGAGCAUAUACAAAACUGAUAAAUUAUUGUGAUAAAUAAGUGAGUCAACUACAGAUUAAAAUUUCAGGAGCGUUCCUGAUGAACUAAACUAUCACGAACAUUCCUGGCCAAACAACCAACUAACUGAGCGACACCUGCGACGACCAUGACGAUGAACUGAAUUGAACGCGGGGAGAGGCAUAUCACAUCGAGCAACACACGGACAAAUUGGGCAGAGCGAUAACAGCAGGGAGACAGGGGGAAAAGUACCUUGCGCCCCACCGCGGCGACUACUACCUCUCCCAUCGACAGGCGCUGGUGGCGAGCACGACAGGAGAGCUCCCCGAGCUCCCUCCAGACCAACAUCCCCUGUACCUGUGGUCAUCCCUGCGAAAUACGCCUCCCACAAUCAAGCGCUCUUUGCUGGGGACCCGCCGCGUGCCAUCUCCGCCUCGACGACCUGCUGCUAAUCACCGGCGAGGAACCCCACCUUCCCUCCGCUGUCUCCGCCCUUCCUCCGUCAAUCCCCUCCUCGGCCAAGACAAAAGUAGCCGCCCCCCACCGACUGAAUGGACAUGAUGACCCUGUACGCGGAGAUUGAGGACAAACCAACGCACAGAGAUUCGUGUGUAUCCAACGGACAGAAAAACGACCUGAGCCGAAUUUAAAAACAGACGUCUGAAAAAUAGUAAAACUGAAAAUCUAAG
Molecule: long non-coding RNA, 2330 nt
Filed under: Triticum aestivum (bread wheat)
Lineage: Eukaryota; Viridiplantae; Streptophyta; Magnoliopsida; Poales; Poaceae
Description: long non-coding RNA (TAES_LNC002478)
Source: RNAcentral